RNAcentral lists this long non-coding RNA (165 nucleotides) under Cricetulus griseus (Chinese hamster). RNAcentral describes it as "lncRNA (ENSCGRG00000025401.1)". Lineage: Eukaryota; Metazoa; Chordata; Mammalia; Rodentia; Cricetidae. The record is from RNAcentral.
CAGCUGUCUUUCCGAGAGUGUUCUGCCAUGUUUUGGAGCUGUGAGGUGGUUCCACAGACCCACACAGCUGCCCACACACUGUCGUCCUCCCUCCCCAAGUUCUGGAAGAACCGGAGGCUGGUGUUGCAGUUCUUUGAAGUAAGGCCAAGCGUGUCAGCUGACUGA